GACGAACGCUGGCGGCGUGCCUAAUACAUGCAAGUUGAGCGCUGAAGGUUGGUACUUGUACCAACUGGAUGAGCAGCGAACGGGUGAGUAACGCGUGGGGAAUCUGCCUUUGAGCGGGGGACAACAUUUGGAAACGAAUGCUAAUACCGCAUAAAAACUUUAAACACAAGUUUUAAGUUUGAAAGAUGCAAUUGCAUCACUCAAAGAUGAUCCCGCGUUGUAUUAGCUAGUUGGUGAGGUAAAGGCUCACCAAGGCGAUGAUACAUAGCCGACCUGAGAGGGUGAUCGGCCCACUUGGGACUGAGACACGGCCCCAACUCCUACGGGAGGCAGCAGUAGGGAAUCUUCGGCAAUGGACGAAAGUCUGACCGAGCCACGCCGCGUGAGUGAAGAAGGUUUUCGGAUCGUAAAACUCUGUUGGUAGAGAAGAACGUUGGUGAGAGUGGAAAGCUCAUCAAGUGACGGUAACUACCCAGAAAGGGACGGCUAACUACGUG
Molecule: ribosomal RNA, 497 nt
Filed under: uncultured bacterium
Lineage: Bacteria
Description: partial 16S ribosomal RNA
Rfam family: Bacterial small subunit ribosomal RNA
Source: RNAcentral